RNAcentral lists this ribosomal RNA (253 nucleotides) under uncultured bacterium. Its description in RNAcentral is "partial 16S ribosomal RNA". It matches the Rfam family "Bacterial small subunit ribosomal RNA", at positions 524 to 776 of the family's 1533-position model. RNAcentral also lists the same sequence under 1 other name. The record is from RNAcentral.
CACGUAGGGCGCAAGCGUUGUCCGGAAUCAUUGGGCGUAAAGAGCUCGUAGGCGGUUUGUCACGUCUGCUGUGAAAACUCGGGGCUUAACCCCGAGCUUGCAGUGGAUACGGGCAGACUAGAGGUAGGUAGGGGAGAAUGGAAUUCCCGGUGUAGCGGUGAAAUGCGCAGAUAUCGGGAGGAACACCGGUGGCGAAGGCGGUUCUCUGGGCCUUACCUGACGCUGAGGAGCGAAAGCGUGGGGAGCGAACAGG